RNAcentral lists this ribosomal RNA (497 nucleotides) under uncultured bacterium. RNAcentral's name for it is "partial 16S ribosomal RNA". It matches the Rfam family "Bacterial small subunit ribosomal RNA", at positions 28 to 507 of the family's 1533-position model. The record is from RNAcentral.
GACGAACGCUGGCGGCGUGCCUAAUACAUGCAAGUUGAGCGCUGAAGGUUGGUACUUGUACCAACUGGAUGAGCAGCGAACGGGUGAGUAACGCGUGGGGAAUCUGCCUUUGAGCGGGGGACAACAUUUGGAAACGAAUGCUAAUACCGCAUAAAAACUUUAAACAAAAGUUUUAAGUUUGAAAGAUGCAAUUGCAUCACUCAAAGAUGAUCCCGCGCUGUAUUAGCUAGUUGGUGAGGUAAAGGCUCACCAAGGCGAUGAUACAUAGCCGACCUGAGAGGGUGAUCGGCCACAUUGGGACUGAGACACGGCCCAAACUCCUACGGGAGGCAGCAGUAGGGAAUCUUCGGCAAUGGACGAAAGUCUGACCGAGCAACGCCGCGUGAGUGAAGAAGGGUUUCGGAUCGUAAAACUCUGUUGGUAGAGAAGAACGUUGGUGAGAGUGGAAAGCUCAUCAAGUGACGGUAACUACCCAGAAAGGGACGGCUAACUACGUG